Cyprinus carpio (common carp) is the source of this 1491-nucleotide long non-coding RNA. RefSeq lists it as uncharacterized. NCBI's taxonomy places the organism in Eukaryota, Metazoa, Chordata, Actinopteri, Cypriniformes, Cyprinidae. The record is from RefSeq and is a predicted model, not a curated record. The transcript is spliced from 2 exons.
UACGGGUUUUGGAACGACAUGGGGGUAAGUGAUUAAUGAUAAAAUUUUCAUUUUGGGGUGGAGUAUCCCUUUAAUACAUCAUUGGAAUGUUUUUUAAUACUGGUGGGCUAAUAGUUUACAAUAUGGUUCAGUACUUGUAUUUAAGAUGUUUAAAACAAGAAUAAGCAUGUAAACAAUGGAUAGUAGUAUAUUUAUCAAAUAAAAUUAACCUAGACGCAUAAAUGCAUUAAUUAAUGCAAAUAACUAAUGAUAAACAAACUGUAAGAUUUUCAUUUUAUUAUUGUUGCAAAGAACUGAAUGAAAAAUAGGGUAAAAUAUCAAGGUCACAGUCAGGUUAAAGGACUACUAUCCCCAGUCAUCUACAUGAAGGGUCAAAUAUGAAGUGAAUGUAUUAUCUGAUCAUGUUUUAGUCAAGUUUCUAUGUGCUUUUGCCAAAUUGGGACACAGAGGAGAUCUACUGGUAUGUUAAACAUCAACCAUUUCGAAAUGAAACAUUUACAUGAAGAGAGCGGGAUGUUUGAAUGUUGCAUUUUGAAGUAUCGCCUAUGCUUCCCACAGAAAGUCAGUUCAGGACGUUUUGAACCCAAACUUGCACUGCAGUACUGUGCCUGUAGUUACUGUAUGAGUAUCAUAUUUAUAAUAAUCAGUUACUGAGAUUCAUCCGAAGGUAUACUUGUGUGGUGUACUUUUUGGCUUCCAUUCUUCAAUUCUUUUAUUGUAGAAAAUUCAGAGGCCUUGUUACAGAGGAGACGGUGAGUGUCUCUGGUUUACAGUAGUGCUGCCAAAUGAGUGGACUGCCCCAUACAACGCCAUCGAUAGUUAUGAUUGUUUCCAUGGGACCAUUUUGUUGUCUUUUGUCUUUCUCUUAUGUUUUAUUUUUAUUGGGUAUAGAAGGUUUAUAUUUUAUAAACUACAUUAUUUGCAAUUAAAAUGCUUAUGUACUUCCUUUGACCCAAAUAUUGUGAUUUCUAAUUUUUUUUUAAUUACAUUUUGUUGUGCAUAAAAUCAACAUGAAUAAAGAUUUCUAUCAUCUGAAUCUUUUGUUCAAAGCACCAGAUGGGCAUGAUGAACCAAAAAUAUCUACUAUUAAUAACAUGUAACCAAAGGUUGAAGAAGGGUCAUAUGGGGCAAUAGCUCUAAAGGCUUAUAUACUAGCAUUGCUCUUUGGUCGGUGGCGCACUGAACUGCUUUGCUUCUAUGGUUUACAAUAGCAUCUUAAGUAAGUGUAGAUUUAUCUUUUCAUCUUGAAGGUUUGUGUGGUAGGUAGGUUUUUUUUUUUUCUUCUUCUUUCUUUCUUUCUUUCUUCUCCAGAUCAGUUCUGCCAUCCACAUCCAGCAACUGUUUGGCGACACAUCCAACAAAAGGAUGUCCGGCAUCAAGGCCUUAAUCACUGUUUAAGGUUAAAGUAUCUCAUAAUGUGUUUUGGAUCUGUGUGUGUAUAGGAUUUACAGUUAUGAUGAAAAGAGUUAAUAAAACAUUCAGUCUUUCUCA